GAUGAACGCUGGCGGCGUGCCUAAUACAUGCAAGUCGAGCGGACAGACGCGGAGCUUGCUGCUCUGACGUUAGCGGCGGCCGGGUGAGUAACACGUGGAUAACCUCCCUAUCAGACUGGGAUAACUACGGGAAAGCGGAGCUACUACCAGGUAAUAUAUUGAAUCGCAUGGAUCAAUAGUGAAGGACGGUUUUGCUGUCACUGAUAGAUGGAUCCGCGCCGCAUUAGCUAGUUGGUAGGGUAACGGCUUACCAAGGCAACGAUGCGUAGCCGGCCUGAGAGGGGGAUCGGCCACACCGCAGCUGAGACACGGUCCAGACGCCUACGGGAGGCAGCAGUAGGGAAGCUUCCGCAAUGGGCGAAAGCCUGACGGAGCAACGCCGCGUGAGGGAUGAAGGUCUUCGGAUCGUAAAACUCUGUUAUUAGGGAAGAACAAAUGUGGAAGUAACUAUGCACGUCUUGACGGUACCUAAUCAGAAAGCCACGGCUAACUACGUG
Molecule: ribosomal RNA, 497 nt
Filed under: uncultured bacterium
Lineage: Bacteria
Description: partial 16S ribosomal RNA
Rfam family: Bacterial small subunit ribosomal RNA
Source: RNAcentral